RNAcentral lists this ribosomal RNA (499 nucleotides) under uncultured bacterium. Its description in RNAcentral is "partial 16S ribosomal RNA". It matches the Rfam family "Bacterial small subunit ribosomal RNA", at positions 28 to 507 of the family's 1533-position model. The record is from RNAcentral.
GAUGAACGCUGGCGGCGUGCCUAAUACAUGCAAGUCGAGCGAACAGACGAGAGUGCUUGCACUCUCUGACGUUAGCGGCGGACGGGUGAGUAACACGUGGGUAACCUACCUAUAAGACUGGGAUAACUUCGGGAAACCGGAGCUAAUACCGGAUAAUAUUCAGCUUCGCAUGAAGCAAUAGUGAAAGACGGUUCUGCUGUCACUUAUAGAUGGACCCGCGGUGUAUUAGCUAGUUGGUGAGGUAACGGCUCACCAAGGCAACGAUACAUAGCCGACCUGAGAGGGUGAUCGGCCACACUGGGACUGAGACACGGCCCAGACUCCUACGGGAGGCAGCAGUAGGGAAUCUUCCGCAAUGGACGAAAGUCUGACGGAGCAAUGCCGCGUGAGUGAAGAAGGUUUUCGGAUCGUAAAACUCUGUUGUAAGGGAAGAACAAGUACGUUAGUAACUGAACGUACCUUGACGGUACCUUACCAGAAAGCCACGGCUAACUACGUG